Long non-coding RNA from Bradysia coprophila, 1186 nucleotides. NCBI's taxonomy places the organism in Eukaryota, Metazoa, Arthropoda, Insecta, Diptera, Sciaridae. The record is from RefSeq and is a predicted model, not a curated record.
GCUAAGCUGAGUUGAGAGGUCACAUUUUCAAUGAUGAAAACUAAUGAUAGGGACAUAUGAUCCUAAAGUGAUUAUUUAUCUUAAAAUUCAAUCUGAGAACACAUUCAAUAUGCCAACCAGUCAUUCCACUAAUUACACCAGUUGAAUAAGAUCUGACGAUUUUUCCUUUCUUUAUUUGCAGUUUAACGCUCGGAAAUGGCGGGACAUAGUUUGAAGGUUUUAAUCCAUCACGCCCUACUAGCAGAAUAGUAGUUGGACCGAUUGUUGAUUGCUGUUCACAUUAAAACAAUCGCCUGUCAAUGCAGAUCAUCAAUGAUUUUGGUCUUAUCAAAUCUGCUCCUCUCAUCAAAUCAAUUUACGUGGCUGUAGACCACCUUUCUCGUACAGUAUCUAAAUUGGCAAAAUUAUUGCGUUCCGGCCGAUGAUCUCAGAAUACAUUUUUGAUUGGCUGCGCACGGCAUACAACUGAGUGUAACUCACAUUGUUUCGUUGUACAUUCAGCGGAUUAAGUAAUCAAACAUACCUGACGGACAAAUUGUGCCACCACAAGACUGAAUAGAAAUGAAAUCCAAACAAUUUGACUCUUAUUUAUUUCGCAAGCUCACCGACAAUGACUGGUCAUUAUCGUUCACAUAACGUCUUAAAAUUCCGAUUGAAAUAUUUGGCGUACAUUGAGCAACAAUAUCAUUUCGACGAAAAGUAUUCUCCGAGUUUUUUCUUUGUAUUUAUUUGAUAUUAUGAUGGUCGUCUGUGACAAGAGUGGAGAGACAGCAAUAUCACGUCUGGAUCAGCUUCAAACGACGUAUAACGCACGGAAAUGGCCGGACACAGUUUGAGGGUCUUAAGCCAUCACGUCCUUUAAGCAGAAUAGUAGCCGGACCGAUUGUUCUGUCCACAUUAAUUGAUGCAAAUCAUCAAUGAUUUUGGUCUUAUCAACCCCCUGCUCCUCUCAUCAAAACAAUUUGCGCGGCUGUAGUCUACCUACUACCUUUCUCGUACAGCUCGUACAGUCAAAUUGGCGAGAUUAUUGCGUUCGGACCGAUGAUCUCAGAAUACAUUUUUGAUUGGCUGCGCACGGCAUACAACUGAAUAUACCUUGUUCGUUGCGCAUUCAGCGGAUACAGUUGAUUAGACGAACAAAUUGUACCACCACAAAAUGAAGACUGAAUAGAAAUGAAAUCCAAAC